This 667-nucleotide non-coding RNA is filed under the name Pongo abelii (Sumatran orangutan). The record is from RNAcentral. Lineage: Eukaryota; Metazoa; Chordata; Mammalia; Primates; Hominidae.
AGGACGGAGAGCAGUAAGCGUGCUGGUUCUUCUUUUGGUCUGUUUAGCAACUUCCCAUGACUUUUGAGCAAGGAACAGGUGUAACCCCUUGCACCCUGAGGUGUGCAGUUGCCUACAUAUGCCUGUGGCCUCAAUGCCAUGUAGAAAUUGUCCCUGGUUCAGCCAAAGCAAAUUCAAAACCAAAAGCAAAUUCACUGACCACGGGGGGAAAGAGUAGGGGACAUUAAACAAGCAGCUCUGCCUGGCCCUCCACUCACAUGGCCAUGAGGCCCGUCAUUCAGCACAUCAUCUCGGCCCCUACUGCGCGCUGGGCACUGUGAGGAGCUUCUGCCUCCUGUCUCCUUCAUGCUCCACUCCUUUCCCCUCCAUAGCUCAGCAAGGCCCACAUUCUCCCGGUGAAGCCACAGAACCACAGGGAGAAAUCCAUGGACUUGGCCUCGCUCUCUAGGGGACCAGAUGUGCAGAGGUAAUGAAUACCAGGGAAUCAGGAAACCACUGGAUCAGUUCUUUGAGCCAUAGAACAACACUCAUCCCAGCAGCUGGGAAGCUAUCUGCAAAAGUCCAUCUGCAGAAAGGGCUUCCUGGUCUUGCGUGUGGCUGGGCCAUUUCUCUGGAUGCAGGUUUUUCAUUAUACAGUCUUCUCAAAGGACCACCUGCUCUCAACACC